This 10625-nucleotide long non-coding RNA is filed under the name Brassica rapa (field mustard). Its description in RNAcentral is "long non-coding RNA (BRAP_LNC003210)". Lineage: Eukaryota; Viridiplantae; Streptophyta; Magnoliopsida; Brassicales; Brassicaceae. The record is from RNAcentral.
CGGAAGAGACAGGGUUCAAUGUCGAGGUUCUAAGACCUAACAAAAGAACGGAGAUGGCUAAGAUCUAUCGUUCGAUGAACACAAGCGAUGUAAUGAUCGGUGUGCAUGGAGCUGCGAUGACUCACUUCCUCUUCUUGAAACCUAAAAGUGUUUUCAUUCAGAUAGUUCCCUUAGGGACUGAUUGGGCGGCUGAUACGUACUAUGGCGAGCCAGCAAAGAAGCUAGGGUUGAAGUAUAUUGGUUACAAGAUUAUGCCGCAAGAAAGCUCUUUAUACUAUGAGUAUGGUAAAGAUGAUCCUGUCAUCAGAGAUCCGGAUAGUCUCAAUGAUAAAGGAUGGGAAUAUACUAAGAAAAUCUAUCUACAAGGACAGAACGUGAAGCUUGACUUGAGAAGAUUUAGAGAGACGUUAGCUCGUUCUUAUGAUUUCUCUAUUAGACGGAGAGUUAGAGAGGAAGUUCCUCAUUUGUUUGUUUCAUAGAGAAGAGUAAGAAGAGAGUAUAACAUUUUUUUGUAAAGUUUUUUAAAAACAUUUUAUUCAUUUUUUUAAAAGUAUUUGGUGUAUGACAUAAUUAAUUUUUCACUCAUCAGCAUAUAGUUUAACUUCAUUCUAGCAAUUAGUCAAAAUAUGAAAUGCAAUAAAGCCUAUAAGGGUUAUCUUAUACUCCCUGAUCCAUGUUUAGAAAGAAAAAAACCGGUUUUAAAAAGCUACACUUUUACAUUUUUAUGUAUUUUUAUCAGGAAAUGAUAGUAAAUUGUAAACUUCGAAGAAAUUAAUUGUGAUUACUGAAUAUUAAUUGAAUAAAAAUUGAAAAAAAAUAAUUAAUCAAAAAAGUAAAAAAAUAAUAAUGCAUUAUAAUUAAAAUUAUUUUUUUUAUCUUAAUAUGUGUGAAAACUCUAAAACAUCUAGUAAAGAAAGCGAAUACUAUUUAUUUGUAAAACAGAUAAAAAUGUUCACCAUUUAAUAAUCAAAACAGAGUAAGCUCUGAUACUAAUCUGAGAGAUGAGUGCCGACGACCUGCUUAAUGGAACUAAUGGGUUUCUAGCUUGAGCUAAAUGUUGUUUCAAUUUUUCAGUAUUAUUUGAUCUAGAGAUUAGAGGUACCAGUCAAGCUCAAUAAGGCAGCCUAUAACUCAAGAGUAUCAUCUUAUAUCAAUGCAUGAUGCAAAUAUUCAAUAAAGCAAAAUUAUUAUAUUUUGAUUUUUUUCAAAAAAAAUUGAAGGUUAUCCUACGAAAUUAAGUUUUUCGAUAAAUACUUUAUAUAAUUAAAUUUACAUUCUUUAGUGGUGUUUAAAAAUUUGUAACCACAUUAUAUAUUUGUAUUAAUGUAUUCUAAACUCUCUGUCAUGGUACAUUAGUAUUGUCUCUCAUUUUUAACUGUUAAUUUAAUAAAACUUCAUAUAUUACCUAAAUCAGUGGACUAACCACUAUGAAAUCUUUAUUCUCUAGAGAAACAAACACAAAAAAUUCCAAACCUUUUUGAAAAUCAUCAUAUGCCAGUGCAGGAUGCAACUAUGCAAUAAAGCAAGAUUUUUGUAUUUUUGAAGUUUUCUCAAAUCUGAAGAUUAACCCCUACGAAAUUAAGUUUUUUGGUAAUUAAAUGCUCUUUAUAUUGAUGUUUACACUAUUUAGUAUUGCUUAAAAUUUUCUAGAAACAAUCUACAUUUGUAAUAAUGUAUGCUAAAUCUCUUUCAUGGUACAUAGACAUCGCUCUAAUUUUUUUAACAACUAAUUUAAUAAAAUUUUAUAUACUGCUUAAAUCAUUGGACUAAUCACUAUAAAUAUAUAUUCUCUAGAGAAAUGAACACAAAAAGAUAUUUAAAACUUUUUUGAAAAUCAUCCUAUGUCAGUGCAGGAUGCAAUUAUGCAAUAAAACAAGAUUGUCAUAAUUUUUGAAUAUUUCUCAAAAUCUGAAGGUUAAAAACACCCAUAUGAAAUUUGAUUUUCGGUGAAUGCUCUACAUAAUGAAACUUACACUCUGUUUAGUGGUGUUUAAAAAUUUCUAACCACAUUUUAAAUUUGUCUUAAUGUAUUAUAAACUCUCUUUCAUGGUAUAUGAGUAUUGUCAUUAUUUUUUAAUUUUUAAUUUACUAAAACUUCAUAUAUUGUCUAAAUCAGUGGACUAACAUGAAAUCUCUAUUCUCUAGAGAAACAGACACAAUAAAGAUUCCAAACUUCUUUGAACAUCAUCCGAAGUCACUUUAAGAUGCAAUUAUUCCAUAAAGCAAGAUUUUCAUAUUUUUGAUUUUCUAUCAAAAUCUGAAGGUUAACCACCACCUACGAAAUUUAGUUUUUUUGGCAAGUGCUCUAUAUAUUAAAGUUUACACUCUUUAGUGUUGUUUAAAAGUUUCUAACCAUAUUAUAAAUUAAUGUAUGCUAAACUAUCUUUCAUGGUACAGAGACAUCGCUUCAAUAUUUUAACAACUAAUUUAAUAGAACCUUUUAUACUCCUUAAAUUAGUAGAAUAAAUGUUAUAAAGUAUCUGUUCUCUAGAGAAACGGACACAAAAAAAUAUUUCAAACCUUUUUGACCAUAGUCAUUUGUCAGUGCAGAAUGAAAAUAUGCAAUAAAAUAAGUUUUUCUUAUUUUUUAGUUUUUUCUCAAAAUCUAAAAGUUAAAACCCCUACGAAAUUGGGUUGUCGGUCAAUGCUCUAUAAAAUGAAAUUUACACACUUUAUUGUUGUUUACAAAUUUCUAACCACAUUCUACAUUUGUCUUAAUAUAUUCCAAACACUUUUUUAUGGUACAUGAGCAUCCUCUCUAAUUUUUAAACAAUUAAUUUAGUAAAACUUCACAUAUUGCCUAAAUUAGUGGACUAACCACUAUGAAAUGUAUAUUUUCUAAAGAAACAAACACAAAAAGAUUCCAAACAUCUUUGACUAUCGCCCUAUUUCAGUGCAAGAUACAACUAUGCAAUAAAAAAAUAUUGUCAUAUUUUUAUUUUUUUCUCAAAAUCUGAAGGUUAACACCUACAAAAUUCAGUUUUUUCGGUAAAUGCUCUAUAUAUUGAAGUUUACACCCUUUAGAGUUGCUUAAAAUUUUAUAACCACAUUCUAAAUUUUUACUAAUGUAUUCUAAACUCUCUUUAAUGGUACGUAGACAUCUCUCUGUUUUUUUUUAAGAAUUAAUUUAUUAAAACUUUAUAUACUGCUUAAAUCAGUGGACUAACCAAUAUAAUAUAUAUAUUUAUAGAGAAAUGGACACAACAAAUAUUUCAAAACUCUUUAACCAUCAUCUUAUUUCAGUCCAGGAUGCACUUAUGUAAUAAAACAAGACUGUCAUAUUUUUUGAUUUUUUCUCAAAAUCUGAAGGUUAACCCCUACGAAAUUGAGUUUUAGGUAAAUGUUAUAUAUAAUGAAGUUUACACUCUUUAGUGUUGUUUGAAAAGUUCUAACCACAUUAUACAUUUGUAUUAAUGCAUUUCAAGCUCUCUUUCAUGGUACAUGAGUAUAGUAUCUAACUUUAACAAUUAAUUUAAUAAGACUUCAUAUAUUGACUUAAUUAGUGGACUAACCAUUAUGAAAUUUCUACUCUCUAUAGAACUGAACACAAAAAAAUUUUCAAACCUCUUUGACCAUCAUCUUAUAUCAGUGCAGGAUGUAACUAUUCAAUAAAGCAAGAUUGACAUAUUUUGAUUUUUUCCCCAAAAUCUGAAAGUUUACCGCCUAGGAAAUUGAGUUUUUCUGUAAAUACUUUAUAUAAUGAAAUUUACACUCUUUAGUGGUGUUUAAAAAUUUAUAACCACAUUAUACAUUUGUAUUAAUGUAUACUAAACUUUCUUUCAUGGUAUAUUAGUAUUGUCUCUAAUUGUUAACUGUUAAUUUGCAUAUUGCAUAUUCUUUAAAAUGAUUAACAAUAGUGGUGUUUAAAAUGUCAUAUAUUGCAUAAAUAAGUGGAUUAACCACAAUGAAAUCUCUAUUCUCCAGAGAAACAUACAAAAAAAAAAUUCCAAACCUCUUUUAAAAUCAUUAUACGCCAGUGAAGGAUGCAACAAUGCAAUAAAGAAAGAUUAUCAUAUUUUUGUUUUUUUCUCAAAAUCUGAAGGUUAACCCCUAUGAACUUAAGUUUUUCAGUAAGUGCUCUUUAUAUUGAUGUCUACACUCUUUAGUGUUACUUAAAAUUUUCUAGACACAUUCUACAUUUGUAAUAAUGUAUGCUAAAUCUAUUUCAUGGUACGUAUACAUCUCUCUAAGUCUUUAACAAUUAAUUUAAGAAAAAUCUAUAUACUGUUUAAAUCAUUGGAAUAACCACUAUAAAUAUCUAUUCUUUAGAGAAACAAACACAAAAAAAUAUUUCAAACAUUUUUUACCAUUAUCCUAUGUCAGUGCAGGAUGCAAUUAUGCAAUAAAACAAGAUUGUCAUAAGUUUUGAAUAUUUUUCAAAAUCUGAAGGUUACACCCAUACGAAAUUUGAUUUUCGGGAAAUGCUCUAUAUAAUAAAGUUUUCUCUGUUUAGUAUUGUUUAAAAUUAUCUAACCACAUUAUAAAUUUGUACUAAUGUAUUAUAAACUCUCUUUCAUGGUACAUGAGUAUUGUCUUUAAUUUGUUUAACUUUUAAUUUAAUAAAACUUCAUAUAUUGUCUAAAUCAAUGGACUAACAUGAAAUAUCUAUUCUCUAGAGAAACGGACACAAUAAAAAUUCCAAACCUCUUUGACCAUCAUCAUAUGUCACUUUAGGAUGCAACUAUUCCAUAAAGCAAGAUUUUCAUAUUUUUAAUUUUUUAAUCAAAAUCUGAAGGUUAAUCCCCUACAAGAUUUAGUUUUUCGGUAAGUGCUCUAUAUAUUGAAGUUUACACUCUUUAGUGUUGUUUAAAAGUUUAUAACUGCAUUAUACAUUAAUUUAUGCUAAACUUUCUUUCAUGGUACAUAUGAAGUUUACACUAAGAUAUUUUAAUUAUUAUAUUUAAUUAAACUUUUUAUAAUGGAACUAAUGGGUUUCUAGCUUGAGCUAAAUGUUGUUUCAAUUUUUCAGUAUUAUUUGAUCUACAUAUUUGAGGUAACAGUCAAGCUCAAGGCAGCCUAUAACUCAAGAGUCUCGGCCAUUGGAAACAAAGUACAUUGCACUAAACUAUUAGAAAGAAAAAAAGAAAGAAAGCCAGUGCUGUUUAUGUUGCUUUUCACUAUCCAUUUAAGUAGUUCAUGUGGAUGCCAGUCUACCCUGAGGCCAUCUGUUCCUACAGUGUUCUUCUCCACAGGUAAGAUACAAAGGAACCGUAUAUAUACCACCAUUGGCGAACCUAAGUAGAAGAUUAUGGGUGCACUUGCCCCCAUAAUAAUUUUAAAAUUUAGUAUAUUUCUUAGACUACUUAUAGGCUUAGAAAGUUGAAAACAGUUUGGGCUGCGUACGAAUUUAAAUGUUGACAAAAUAAUCGAUUGGGUUGUCAAAUUAGUGAAAGAGAUUUAUGGCAAGAAAAAUAAUGAAGUACUAGAUUUUUCACCCGCACAUCCGUGCGGGUAGAUUUUUAUUUUAUAAUAUAUAACGGAUACCAUCGCGAAAGGUUAAAAGAUAUUUACAUUUUAGUGUUAUAUAUUGUGUAAAUCUAUAAUGUUAUUGUUUAGUUUCUUAUUCGAUAUUAUUAAUGUAUAAUAAUUUGUUUUAUAUAUUUUACUUUAUUAUUAAUUGUUAUAAUAUAUUAAUAUAUUUUUGAGUUUGGUAAAAUAAAUUCAUAGUAUGAAAUAAAAAAAUUGAGAAUCUCCUUCAUUUUUUUCUAAUUUUUACAGACUGAAUACAAUAUAUUUUAAAAUUUUAUUUAGUUAUACUAUAAAACUGAUAUUUUCUUAGAAUAAUUUAUAUUUCUAUGUUAUUAUUUUCGCAUAUUUUGAGAUUUUAUAAGUAAAUACAUUAUAAUAAACUAUAUUAUUAAUUAUGAAAUCAAUCGCUGCAUUAAUUUAAAAAUAUUUUAAAAUUUUAUUAAGAUUUUGUUAGGUUUUAACAUAUUUUGUUAUAAGUAAAAAUAAAAUUUAAAUUUACAGUUAAAAUUUAUUUAUUAAUAUCUAUAUAAUUUAUAAGAUUUUUUAGAAAUGUUAUAUAUUAAAUAGAUUAACUUAAAUAGUCAAAUAGAUGUAAUUGAUGAAAUAGACCUAGUAUGAUUUUUUAUGGUAUUUCUUUUAAUAAAGAAAAUAUAGAAUAUAAUUAUAAAAUUUGAAAAAUAGCAUACACUUUUAUUUUAUUUUUUUUCAUAAUAAAAGUUUAUUUAAAUUAAUGUAUAAUAGUAUAUAUUAUUAAUUACGAAAUUAAUCAAUGGUAUUAAUUUAAAUAAAAUAUUCUAAAUUUUUAGAAAGAUUUUGUUAGAUUUUUCUCAAUAUUUUGUUAUGACUAAAAAUAAAAUUUAAAUUUACAGUUAAAAUUGAUUUAUUAUUAAUAUCUUUAUAUAUUGAAUAUAUUAAUAUAAAUAAUUAAAUAAAUAUAAUUAGUAAAAAUAAGGUUAGUAUGAUUUUUUAUGGUAGAUAAAAAUGGUACUUCUCUUUUAAUAGAGAAGAUUUUUUUUUUUUAAUAAAAUGUAAUUACUUGAUUAUUUUUAAUGAAGUGGAUAGGCGAGGAAGACUUAAAUAAGGGCUUUUAUAUAGUGUAACUACGUCACCAAUAUAUUCCAGCAUGAUUCAUGAGAACAAAGAACCAUAUCUUAUUUUUGGAACCGGCCAAAGAUCAUAUUAAUCCCCUUAACGAUUCUCCCUUUUAUAUAAUCGGAUUCAACUAUAUUACUUUUAGCUUAGGAUGGUUAUGAUGAUAAUUUUCUUAAAUUAAUUGAUUUUUAUAAUGAAAGCAAGGUUCCAUGCCUAUUUAUGGAUACAUUAUUGUGGCCUCACACUUGUGCACAUAUUAUAUAAACAAAGAAACAUGCAUUUAUAAGUUCAAAAAAAAAAAGAAACAUGCAUAUAUAUCAUUUUAUCAUGUUCUUUUUAUAGUUUCCUAAGAAUUAUGGUGUCUAUCUAAGAUGAUUUUACCAUGUCUUUUUUCUUUUCUUUUAUGAGUGUUCAAAAUCCCACCUAAGAUAUAUAAAAAAAAACUUGUCAUUUUCGAUAUAUAUAGCAUUAGCUUAUAUGUACACGGCCUCCCUCUACUAACCUUCUUUAAUUUUCAUCGACAUUUUGAUAACAAACGUUAAAAAGCAUAAUCACUAGUGUACUUAACCAUGUAUGUAUGCAUCUAAACAGGAAAAAAAAACAUCCAUAAUCUAUCUGCAUGGACAUCAACAUUUUUGCACAAUCUUUUGACGUAUGUUGUCUUUGUGGUGUAAGCUUCCAACUUUCCAUAUUAUUAUGAACAAAUGAUAUAUUUCAGAAGAGCCAUGUCACUACUAACGACCGGGACAAUAUGGCAUGGGAUCCGCUUAAAUCCAAACAAACGUUGAACAACUACAGUUGAUGUUGUCACCAUCUGAUAUGAAUGUCAGCAUAUUAAACUUUAGAGGGAACAAAAGAGGGUGUCAACUUAAAGAUAAACAAUUCCAUAACAGAAUGAAACGUUAACUUAAAACUUUUGUUAGCCCCAUCCAUCGUGGGUUCACCCUAAUGGACGGUUAUGAUUAACGGAUGGAGGUGGACUUUGAUGAUAGUGACUGGUGAAAUGAUAUCUCGGUGUGAAAACUUGUAAAAACGCAUCUUUUUAUGAUAAACAAAGUAGCAAAAGGGUAAUACAUUGGAGAUGCUUUAAUUAUUAAAUUACUUAUUUUAUGUUAUUUUUAUUUUUAUUUUUAUUUUUAUUAUUUAUGUUUUCUGUUAUUUUAUGCAUUUAUUUAAAAUUAUUAAAUAAUUCUUUGUGGAAUAUACUAUUUUCAUGUUAUUGUAUCAUUUUAAAUAUUAUUUAAGUAAGAAAUAAAAACAUUAAAGAUUCAAAGGACCAUUUUAUAAAUAAAAAAAGUUCAACUCCAAAAUGGAGUGGGGUUAGGAAAAGAUUUUAUUCCAUAGUGAUGUUUGGAGUUGAAAAUGAAGUGGAGUUGGAAAUGCCCUACGAGUAUCAACAUCGCAGUUUCUAGCGUGGAGAUGCUUAAAAAGUAAUGAUGGUGGCCCCACCAAAUAAAUAAAAUCGGUCACAGAAGUAGCCAAAAAAGGAUCGGUGUUUUGUUGUUUCUGGUACUGUUUGCAGGCCCCACUGACACGUGACUGUCCGCGAUUGGUUACCUUUUUAUUUUAUUUUUUUAAUCAGAAAAAACAAAAAAAAAAAUUAAGAAACCCAAAAAACGAUUUAGGGAAAAUCAUGGCCUAAGGAUUUGAUUUGCUGAGCUUUUUAACUAUUCACGGACCGUAUUGACACGUAGCAAUCCGCGAUUGAUUAGUUUUUUUUUAAUCCGAAAAAAAUAAAUAGUCAUAACUACUAUUUCUAAGAAUUUGUGCCUUGAGUAUCACCAUAUCUGAUGCCCUAAUAUCUUGUUAAACUAGCUCUAUGUUCAUGACAACUUCAAACCCCAAUAAAAAAACUACAGUAUAUAAUUUUUUGGUAAUUCAAAUGAAAAUGAUAGGCAAUAAAUAAUAUAAUCACAUACUUAUAUAUACAUGUAAAAGGUCUAUAAAUACAUACAUUCAGAACGUACGGCAACAACUCUUCGAACACUCAUACAUAAUCACUUUGGCGCGCCGCUUUCUUCCUUUCUCCAUCCUCAACCACCUCUUUUCUCUUUAUAAAAAUCAACGGUUCUCCAAAUUUCUCAGUGGUUCGAGACAUAUCAUAAAAGAAUGUUGCAGCACCAAGAACUCGCUCUUCAAAGAAGCUUCAGCUGCAACACAAGAAAGAUCAGCCCAGAGACCUCUCCGGCGCGUAGGUUACACGCCCGUUCUCGUUCUUCCUCCUCCUCCUUGAUCCCACCCAUCCCUGAGCAUGAACUCUUCCUCGUACCUUUCCAGAGCUUCACCUCCUCCUCUAAAAACACAGUGAAAGUCAACGUGAAGCUUUCUUUCUUCUCACGUGCUAUCAUCAACCUCGUUAACCUACCGCCAUCUCCUUCCUCCUCCGGUGUUUCUAACCAGCUGAUCACCGGAAAAUCCUCUUCCCUCGGGAGAAGGGUCACCGGGACUUUGUACGGACACAGAAGAGGCCACGUCACGUUUUCAGUCCAGGACGGUCCGAGAGCCGAACCAGUGUUUCUCUUAGACCUAGCCAUGUCAACGGAAACUCUAGGCAAAGAGAUGUCGUCGGGGCUCGUCAGGAUCGCGUUGGAGUGCGAGAGGCGUCACCGUUCGGGGACGACUAAGCUUUUCCACGAGCCCAAGUGGACCAUGUAUUGCAACGGCAGGAAGUACGGUUCCGCGGUGUCGCGUGGCGGAGCGUGCACCGAGUUGGAUUUGCGCGUGCUGAAUACCGUGUCGAGUGUAACGGUUGGAGCCGGAGUUAUUCCGACGGCGAGUGACGUGUCCGGUGGUGGAACGGAGCUUGGGGAGUUGUUGUAUAUGAGAGGUAGGUUUGAACGAGUCGUGGGGGGUCGUGACUCUGAGGCGUUUUACAUGAUGAACCCUGACGAAAACGAAGGUCCUGAACUCAGUAUUUUUCUUCUUAGAUUAUGAAAAAAAUGGUUUUUUCUUAAGAGAGAGUUACUUGACUUUUAAAAAUAUUUGAAAAUGUCUUAAUUAGCUUGUUAUUAUAAAGUGAAUGAUUGCAAUGUUAUUAUAUAGGUUAGUUUCUAAUCUCUUGCUUAUCAGAUGUGGUGUUUUUGUUGUUGUUAUUUUUAAUUACAGCAAUUUUCUGUAUUUUGGUUUUUGUUAAAUUGAAGAAAUAAAGAGACUAAUGGGUUUCUAGCUUUGAGCUAAAUGUGUUUCGAAUUUUCAGUAUGCAUUAUUUAGUCAGUAGAUUAGAUGUAUCAGUCAAACUCAAAUAAGGCUGGAAGUCUAUAACCCAGAGUCUCAUCCAUUGUAUUAGACUAUGGGAAAAAGUCAGAGCUGUUUCUGUUACUUUUUUGUUGUUGUAAACUAUUCUGUUACUUUUUCACUGUCCGUUUUAAGUAGUUCAUGUGAAUGUCAAUCUACUCUAUAGCCAAAUCUUUAGAUGUUCCAAAUGUGUUCUUCUCUCCACAGAUAGAUACACGGGAAUGCUAUACCAUGAGUUUUAGCCAUACGAUUAUGACUAUCCCUUUCUUUAUAACUUCACAACAUUUCAACAAAAAAAAAUGUGUUUGUGAUCGUAGAGUAUAUAUGAUUGCUGGGAGAUGGAACAAGGAGAUAAUGUUUCACGACACAUUGUUUCAAGGAUGCAACUAUUUGACUGCGUACUGAAGACAAAUUAAAUGUAGUAUGCAAUUAGGAUAAAUGUUAAUGACCAACCUAAUACGUUGUCCUAUUAUUCUCCUGUUAUUUUUAGUCAAAGUUGUCGAGGAAAAACAAAACAAAACUGAUAUAUGGGCCACGAAAUAUUUUAGGUUAGGCCGAAUAAUAACUAGAACCGGCUCUGUUGAUUGUAGAGAUUAAAGGCUUUCUUUGGGUCAGUGAGGGAUCCACAGUCCGAACACAAACAUGAAACAUGGAGCUGCAAUGACUCACUUCCUUUUCUUGAAACCUAAAAGUGUUUUUAUUCAGAUAGUUCCCUUAGGGACUGAUUGGGCGGCCGAGACGUACUAUGGCGAGCCAGCAAAGAAGCUAGGGUUGAAGUAUAUUGGUUACAAGAUUAUGCCGCAAGAAAGCUCUUUAUACGAUGAGUAUGG